ACUCUUUGAUAUUUCCUGAAAAUUGCAAUUAUUGAAAAAUCAUUUUAAAAUCCAGUGUUACUUAAGUCAUUUUGGAAUGUGAGAUGGUAGAGUAUGAGUUUCUUAUUCUUGAUAUCAUUGUUGCUUGGAGAAUUUAUCUCAAAAUCUUCAAAAUUCUAGCUACCAUCCUCAGUGUUUUAUAUGCCUAAUAAGCCUGAAAAUAUUAAUGAUAAUUAUAAAAGCUAUCUACUCUGUAUUGAGUUUGUUCAAAAUCAGUUAGACCCAUGUUCAGAGAUUUAUCAUGC
RNAcentral lists this long non-coding RNA (284 nucleotides) under Sorghum bicolor (sorghum). Its description in RNAcentral is "long non-coding RNA (SBIC_LNC008384)". Lineage: Eukaryota; Viridiplantae; Streptophyta; Magnoliopsida; Poales; Poaceae. The record is from RNAcentral.